This 634-nucleotide long non-coding RNA is filed under the name Rosa chinensis. Its description in RNAcentral is "sRNA RchiOBHm_Chr1g0374981". Lineage: Eukaryota; Viridiplantae; Streptophyta; Magnoliopsida; Rosales; Rosaceae. The record is from RNAcentral.
UUUCACCCUAGACUCAUAUUCACUAACAACCGCAAUUUUCAUUCCCAAACCAAACCACCGCGACAAAAACCAGCCACCGACCUCCUAUUCCCCUCCUUCUCCGCCUCCGACCGCUCUCCUCCUCCUUCUCUGCCUCCUUCUCUCCCUCCCAGCCGAAGUCGGAGCUGCUUUCGCCGUUCUCCUUUCUCUCUCCGUAGGCCUUCCCCUCUCAACCCCUCUCUUCGAUCGUCGACUCGUCAAGGCGUCUACGGCCUCUCUCUCCUCGACUGUAAGUCGCCUCGACUGUAAGUCGGUAAGAAGUUGUACUGGGUUUUGACUUUGAGCAUCUCCAUAAUUUGAACAUCUUCAAUCGAUCUAUCUCUGAUGAACAACUCCUUGAAUUUCUGGGUUUUCAAACGAACAGCCUUAAACUUGAUCUUGGUGCUCUCUUCCUCGCAGCAAAGCUGAAAACUUUCUGGGUUUUCAUACGAACAGCCUCAAACUCGAUGUCUUGGGUCUGUUCUCAAUCUCUUUUUACUUGAUUUAUGUUUUAGGCUCCUACUUUUGAUAAUAGAAUGAUAGAUUUUGCUUCGUAUAGGAGGGAGAGAAGCCUGAUUGUAUCAUUACUCCGAAACUGAAUGUUGGGGAUAAGCUU